AUCCAGUGAUGAGUCCUAAAUAGGACGAAACGCGCAUCCUGGAU
Trichobilharzia regenti is the source of this 44-nucleotide non-coding RNA. The record is from Rfam. Lineage: Eukaryota; Metazoa; Platyhelminthes; Trematoda; Strigeidida; Schistosomatidae.